This 1494-nucleotide ribosomal RNA is filed under the name metagenome. Its description in RNAcentral is "bacterial SSU rRNA". It matches the Rfam family "Bacterial small subunit ribosomal RNA". The record is from RNAcentral.
AGAGUUUGAUUCUGGCUCAGAAUGAACGCUGGCGGCGUGCUUAACACAUGCAAGUCGAACGAGAAAGUCCUUCGGGACAAGUAAAGUGGCGAACGGGUGAGUAACGCGUGGAAAUCUACCUUUUAGUGAAGAAUACCCUUGAGAAAUUAAGGUUAAUGCUGCAUAAGCCCUUCGGGGGAAAGACGGCCUCUUGCUGUCGCUAAAAGAUGAGUCCGCGUCCUAUUAGCUUGUUGGUGGGGUAAAGGCCCACCAAGGCAAAGAUGGGUAGCCGGCCUGAGAGGGUGAACGGCCACAUUGGGACUGAGAUACGGCCCAGACUCCUACGGGAGGCAGCAGUGGGGAAUUUUGCGCAAUGGGGGAAACCCUGACGCAGCGACGCCGCGUGAAGGAUUGAAGGUCUUAGGAUUGUAAACUUCUGUUAAGUGGGAAGAAAGACCGCUAUUUAAAAGAUGGCGGGGAUGACGGUACCACUAAAGAAAGCACCGGCUAACUUCGUGCCAGCAGCCGCGGUAAUACGAAGGGUGCAAGCGUUAUUCGGAGUUAUUGGGCGUAAAGAGUAUGUAGGCGGCUUGUUAAGUCAAUUGUUAAAGAUCCCGGCCCAACCGGGAAAGUGCAGUCGAAACUAACAGGCUAGAGUGUAAGAGAGAGAAGUAGAAUUCUCGGAGUAGCGGUAAAAUGCGUAGAUCUCGAGAGGAAUACCAGUUGCGAAGGCGGCUUCUUGGCUUAUUACUGACGCUGAGAUACGAAAGCGUGGGGAGCAAACAGGAUUAGAUACCCUGGUAGUCCACGCCGUAAACGAUGAUCACUAGGUGUUGGUUUCAUUCGUGAAAUCAGUGCCGUAGCUAACGCGUUAAGUGAUCCGCCUGGGGAUUACGGUCGCAAGACUAAAACUCAAAGAAAUUGACGGGGGUCCGCACAAGCGGUGGAACAUGUGGUUUAAUUCGACAAUACGCGAGGAACCUUACCUAGGUUUGACAUGUAAUCGCUACGAUUGGAAACAAUUGGUUUCGUGUUUACACGGACGGUUACACAGGUGCUGCAUGGCUGUCGUCAGCUCGUGUCGUGAGAUGUAAGGUUAAGUCCCUUAACGAGCGCAACCCUUGCCAUCAGUUGCUAUCCUUCGGGAGCACUCUGAUGGGACUGCCUUGGAAACAAGGAGGAAGGUGGGGAUGACGUCAAGUCCUCAUGGCCCUUAUACCUAGGGCUACACACGUGUUACAAUGGCGAGUACAACAGGAAGCAAUACCGCGAGGUGGAGCCAAACCUCUAAAGCUCGUCUAAGUUCGGAUUGGAGUCUGCAACUCGACUCCAUGAAGCUGAAAUCGCUAGUAAUCGUGUAUCAGAACGACGCGGUGAAUACGUUCUCGGACCUUGUACACACCGCCCGUCACACCACGAAAGUUGCCAGCACCCGAAACUGUUUUAGCUAACCUUUUAUUAGGGGGCGUGCAGUGAAGGUGAGGGGGAUGAUUGGGGUGAAGUCGAAACAAGGUA